GCAUCCUACGGGGCGCAGCAGUGGGGGAUAUUGCACAAUGGAGGAAACUCUGAUGCAGCGACGCCGCGUGAGGGAAGACGGUCUUCGGAUUGUAAACCUCUGUCUUUGGGGAAGAAAAUGACGGUACCCAAAGAGGAAGCUCCGGCUAACUACGUGCCAGCAGCCGCGGUAAUACGUAGGGAGCGAGCGUUGUCCGGAAUUACUGGGUGUAAAGGGAGUGUAGGCGGGCGAGAAAGUUGAAUGUUAAAUUUAUAGGUUUAACUGGUAGUUGGGUUUAAAAAUUCUUGUGUUGAGUGAAGAAGAGG
This 305-nucleotide ribosomal RNA is filed under the name uncultured bacterium. Its description in RNAcentral is "bacterial SSU rRNA". It matches the Rfam family "Bacterial small subunit ribosomal RNA", at positions 334 to 657 of the family's 1533-position model. The record is from RNAcentral.